RNAcentral lists this ribosomal RNA (319 nucleotides) under uncultured Pseudomonadota bacterium. RNAcentral's name for it is "bacterial SSU rRNA". It matches the Rfam family "Bacterial small subunit ribosomal RNA", at positions 29 to 351 of the family's 1533-position model. Lineage: Bacteria; Pseudomonadati; Pseudomonadota. The record is from RNAcentral.
AUUGAACGCUGGCGGCAUGCCUUACACAUGCAAGUCGAACGGUAGGGGGAGCAAUCCCCCGAGAGUGGCGAACGGGUGAGUAAUGCAUCGGAACGUGCCCAGUCGUGGGGGAUAACGUAGCGAAAGCUACGCUAAUACCGCAUACGACCUGAGGGUGAAAGCGGGGGACCUGCAAGGGCCUCGCGCGAUUGGAGCGGCCGAUGUCAGAUUAGGUAGUUGGUGGGGUAAAAGCCUACCAAGCCUGCGAUCUGUAGCUGGUCUGAGAGGACGACCAGCCACACUGGGACUGAGACACGGCCCAGACUCCUACGGGAGGCAG